This is a long non-coding RNA of Rhinichthys klamathensis goyatoka, 378 nucleotides long. RefSeq lists it as uncharacterized. The record is from RefSeq and is a predicted model, not a curated record. The transcript has 2 exons. NCBI's taxonomy places the organism in Eukaryota, Metazoa, Chordata, Actinopteri, Cypriniformes, Leuciscidae.
UUUGGGUGCAACCCCCUGCUUUUAUUUUCUUGCAUCCCAAUAUGGGUCAACAUGUUCGAUUCACUUUGAUGAAGGGAUGUGACUACAUGGUUUUAAACUUUUCAAGCCCCAUGGCAAUAAUUUGUUAGGGAAUUGUUUGUACUUUAGAGUAGUAGGUUUACAAUUAGCUACAUUCAUUGGUAAUCUAAUUGCAAAAAGAAACAAACAAGCCAUUGUAGUAAAACAGACCAUUUUAAUUUGGCAAAAAGGGUGUGCACUGCCAAGUCAUUUGACACUAUUAAAAUGCAUUCAGUAUGAACAGUGCAACAGAAAUGUGCUUAACUGUAUCUUUCUGUGCUCCCGAAUGUGAUGUGCUAUUAUCUAUCAUACAUUCAAAAA